Molecule: non-coding RNA, 2029 nt
Organism: Equus caballus (horse)
Lineage: Eukaryota; Metazoa; Chordata; Mammalia; Perissodactyla; Equidae
Source: RefSeq, a predicted model, not a curated record
CCGGGGGGCUUUGGGGAGAAAAAGGAAAAAAAAAAAUGAAAUCUUUAAAAAAAAAAAAAAACCCAAAUGCUCUUUCUACAGUUUUUCCCUACCUACUGGUCCUAAGUACAUAUUCAGCCCGUCUAUUGUGUGACGUUUUUCCCACGUAUAUCCCAUAGGCUCUGAAACUUCCUGCUGGGCUAGUGGUACCUGGGCAGACUACGGCAUGAGUGAAGACCUUCCCAGAACCUGGCCAAAACACAUCAGUGGUUUCAAUCUUACUACCAACGGCCCAGGACCAGUACAUGCAAAGUUCUGGGCUAUGCACCAUGAAGAGCACAAAGAUGCAUAAGAUCUUUCUUGGACUUCUCACAGAAAAAACAAUCUCAUAGCAAAGAGAAGACACACACAUCUCAGAAUCACGGAAUUUCACAGCUUGAAGGGAUGCUCAGUUUAUUUCAUCCAAUAUAGGUAACCACACAGGAGAGAUCCUGUGUUGAAAACAGGAAAGUUUCUUUCUGAUCUCUUAAAAAUUUACCUUUACACCUACAUUAAAUGAUUAGGAUUUUCUCUUCACUUGAAUUCUUCUGCUUGUGAAAUGCCUCUGUGUGCCUUUUACCCAGUUUUCUUUUGUAGUGUUGGUUUUAUCAUGAAUAAAACACACAUACACACAUAGCAAAUAUCUAUCAUCUAUCAUUUUUUUGCGAAUCUUUUAACUGUUGAGAUUUUUCCCUUAACGUUAUUCAUGUUUCGUUGUUGGUUUUUGUUUUCUGGUUUUUGGUUUUUUUUUUCCUUUUUGAUAAAGAAAAACCUAUAGAGCAUUUCUUCACUGAUUCUAUCUUGAGGCCAUUUUUUAAAAAGAAUUAGAGAGUCACCAGUGUUUUCAUCUACUAGUUGCAUGGGCUCAUUUAAAAAAUGCAAUUAUUCAGUCCACUGGGGAUUUUAGUCUGGGGCAUACUGUCAAAUAAAGUUUCAAUUUAAUUCAUUUUCCACAUACUUAUAACAUUAAAGGUGAAUAGAUGGUACCAAAAAACAAAAAUUUUUGAAAAGGAAAGAAAAAAGAAAAUCACACACAAAACUGAGAACAAUUAAGCCAGUCUCAGAUUUCUCCACAGCAACUUUCCACACCAGAGGACAACUGACCAGUGUUUGCAGAGUUCCAGAAGAAAGAAACCAGCACCCAAGAGCAGUCUGCCUAACCAAGAUGUCUGCAGAGGACAAACAGAACAAAAGACAUUCUCAGCAAGAAACAGCCACCCAUGAGACCUUUCUCAAGAAUUCUACUUAAUGAUGGAAACUAGACCACUAAAAUAUGAAUCAAAAUUCAAGGAUGGAAAAGUCAAGGUAAAAAACAUCAUGAACACAGGGCCAAGGACAGAGCCAGAGGAGGCCCAUGGGUGGCGCUCAGGAAGCCCUAGUCCCUGACUGCUGCCGCCUAGAAAGAGACUGGCAGCAUGGGCUGAUACACAGCAGGGUUCAUUGUUCUACUUGACUUCAAUGCUGGCGACAAUCUACGUGUUGUGGGUGAGCCGCACAAAGGUCCGUGCAGUUUGGUCAAGCUGACUUGCUGGGGGGACUUUCUGAAGGAGAACUAUCUGCUCAGUACUUGUGAGCUCAUAUUGUUCAUACAGUUCACCAGGACUGUUUCCAUAAAUCUUAUUCAAUUCUAAAUGACCUGAAAAAUGUUCACGGUCCCAUUAGCUAAAGGCUUUGUCUUUAGGUCAAAUCAAGUGUGGAAGUCUAGAAACAAUGAUCCCUUUAUUCACACAGUGUUCAUUAAAACUAACAUUAGGAAAUAAUUAAAAAGAAAAAGCUGUGCUCAAUUAAAAAAAAUAAGUUCACUAUUACCAUAUAUCUAUUUCUUUAGAUAUUAAAAUACUAAACUUAAGGAAAGACAUGAUUUAUUCUUGUGUCUCAAAAUUGAUUAAUCUAAAUUAAAAGUAUUCAACACCUUUACCUGGCCUUAGCUUUUGAGAACCUGAACUGAAAGAUAACUUUCUUGACUGUUUUGAAUGAGACAAUCAAGACUAUAGCAAAAUCCAGACUAAAC